GACGAACGCUGGCGGCGUGCUUAACACAUGCAAGUCGAACGGAAAGGCCCUGCUUUUGUGGGGUGCUCGAGUGGCGAACGGGUGAGUAACACGUGAGUAACCUGCCCUUGACUUUGGGAUAACUUCAGGAAACUGGGGCUAAUACCGGAUAGGAGCUCCUGCUGCAUGGUGGGGGUUGGAAAGUUUCGGCGGUUGGGGAUGGACUCGCGGCUUAUCAGCUUGUUGGUGGGGUAGUGGCUUACCAAGGCUUUGACGGGUAGCCGGCCUGAGAGGGUGACCGGCCACAUUGGGACUGAGAUACGGCCCAGACUCCUACGGGAGGCAGCAGUGGGGAAUAUUGCACAAUGGGCGGAAGCCUGAUGCAGCAACGCCGCGUGCGGGAUGACGGCCUUCGGGUUGUAAACCGCUUUCACCUGUGACGAAGCGUGAGUGACGGUAAUGGGUAAAGAAGCACCGGCUAACUACGUG
RNAcentral lists this ribosomal RNA (468 nucleotides) under uncultured bacterium. RNAcentral describes it as "partial 16S ribosomal RNA". It matches the Rfam family "Bacterial small subunit ribosomal RNA", at positions 28 to 507 of the family's 1533-position model. The record is from RNAcentral.